Molecule: non-coding RNA, 4624 nt
Organism: Anas platyrhynchos (mallard)
Lineage: Eukaryota; Metazoa; Chordata; Aves; Anseriformes; Anatidae
Source: RefSeq, a predicted model, not a curated record
UCUGUGCUGCUGCAGAUCCUGGUUAAUCUCCCCUGCUACCAAAGCCUAGCCUACCAGCCAGCAUUCUGUGUCUUAAAAUUAGCGUGGGAGAGCCGUAGAGGGUUUUUUCUUCCUCCCCCUCUUCCCAUCACUAUCUUGACGCUUUGGAGCAGGCUGAUAACGCAGAGACAGGCUGCUUGUCUAAAAGCUGGGGGCAAAUCUUUCCCUCCCGGCCAGCCCCUUCCUGGUUACGGAGGAAGCGAUCUGUGACGGUGUCAGGAAAUGUCAUUAGUUAGCGAGCGCUCCUGUGUCAAAGGAUCCCAUCUGCAGCGAGAUCUGUUUCUAGGCUGUAAAGACUGUCCUCUGAUGCGUGGCCUGAAACUGGGACGAGUGUGGUGCUUCUCCCACCUGUGCACAAGAGUUUUCGGCCCACGGAAACCAAGUGAUCUGCCCUCCCUCUGGGAAGAGAGGUUGUCUUUUCCAACAAGAAGACUCUGGCUCUAUCUCCAGCAGCAGCCCACCCAGUCCCUGCACAGACCUUGUGUUAUGGUGUUCCUGUGCUGAACAGGUAGGAGCUGAGAUGGUACAGACAUGAGCUUUUUAGGAAAGAAGCAUUUCUAAACUGUUAGCCAAAUCUGAGAUAAAUCAGUGUCUGCAUGAAAGGCUGCUGUUUUCAGCCAAAAGAUAUUGCUAAGUAAUGUGCCCUCAUAGAGGGAAAGAGAGAGAUGUUCUGUCUGGCUGUCCUGCCCCGAGAACAGUGCUGCUAGCUGCUCAGACAGAAAGCACAUGGAUGCUUUGGGAAUACCUAGAGAGCAGCAAUGCUUCGGUAAGAGGAUAAAGGAAAGAAGUCUACUGCAGACAACGGUGUCCAGAGAAAUCCAAUUAUUAACCAGUCCUAAAUAGUCUGGCUGUUACAAACAGGACCUGAAGACAGGAGACAAACGGUUGGAGCAGAAGAAUCACUCUUUUCGAUAUUCAAAGUGUUGUUUUCCUGAAGUUAGGAGACACUUUUGUGAUGCACAUGUCAGAAGUAACAACGAUGGUUCACCUUGUUUGACGUUCAUGGGUACGUCUGUUUUAAUUCCGUCCCAGAAGCUGUGCUGUGUGGCUGGGAAAAGAAAAAGACAGUUCCUGUUCUGCAUUGUGCAGAACAACCUGGUUUCUGUCCCUUCGUUCUCAAGCAGUCUUUUGUCACACAACUUGCUGCUACAGAGAGUUUGAAAAUAGGCUCAAUAUGUGCCUGGGCUGGGAGAUGUGUGUAAAUUACAAAUUGUUUGGGAAAUGACACGUUAUGGGUAUUCUUAAGCAGGUUGAAUCAAACUGUGGAUUUUCAAGCUGUACACAGGCAGAUUUUCAGUGCACCUUCCCUGGGAAGACCUUGAAAGCAGGAGAUGAGGUGGGUUCGUUGCAAAGUGUUUAAGCAGUAAGCUGGGCAAAAUGGGGGUUGCAGCUUCGGUGGUGGAAGCAUGAAAUGUAGCCUGAAAUCUGUGGCCUCGCAGCCAUAAGGUGGCUCCCCAGUGCUCCUGGCUCUCCUGCAGGGAGCAGCAGGCCCAAGCUCCUUUAGAUCAGGUUACAGAGGGGUUGCGUGGGCAGCUUGGCUUGACAUGGCUGCGACCAUGAAAAAGCACUGUUUUAAUGAGAAAAAUUAAGCUAAAGCAGGAAGAUGAGCUCGGGCCUGGACAGUGGCGCUGGCUGAAGAGGAGGCAGAAACUGCUUGGUGUCAGCAGCUCUCUCUGGAGGACCUGCAUUUAUUUUCUCUCUCCGUGCAGGGCUGGUAGCAAGUGACUUUUUGCUCAGCUAAGUGACCUCCAGUUUGGAGGUUGGGUUGGAAUUUGGAAGUCACUAAAAGUUUUUUUUUUUUUUUGUAUUGUUUUAUUCCACUACCCUUGAAUUUCUUGUAGGAAGCUGCUGUUGUGGAGCUGUCUCUAGAGCAAGCAGAGGACGUUCUGUGAGGCUUGUGCUUGUUCAGACAGCUAAACUAAAUUGAGGGGAAGCUAUGCUCUGACAUAUUGGGGUGAUGAUGAUGUUCAAAUCUUAUCAGAAGGCUCACACCUCCACCCCUAUGGGAGUCGAUACAGAAAGCAGACAGGUAGCUAGACCACAGACUGGCGUGCAGUGUGACUUGGGGGUGGGAGAAGCACCUUUGGCACCAAACUGACCGAAUUCCCUUCCCAUGGGCCCACGCAGGCAGUUCGUGACCAUGGGUUUUGAGGAAGAAACCACGCAGUGGUCGGUCUUGGUGUAGGGAGGAAUUGCAGGCACGUGUGGGAGCGCUCCCAGAACAGAAGCGAGCACCCAGUGGCUUUCAAAUCAGCCUGAGCUGAAUUUCAAUGAUCAGAAGAUAUAAAUUAAAACUGGAGCUGAAACUUCAGAUCGAAAUGUUCACUUUGACUGCCUGGUUUUAAUUUAAAUGACUUGAGUGUUCCUAGUGUUUUGAUAUUGUCAAAAUCACUGUGCGGCAACAGGCCCCAGCAGACUAUAGGAACACCUUGUAAUAUUGUGUCUAUUAAAUUAAAGCUUUAUGGUAGCAGGAUGUAGUUUGAAAAAACUCUUUGAGGAGUUUGGGAGCAGGGAGGAGGAAGUGGGCUGCUGGUUCCUGGGGGGAAAGGAAAGGCACGUAAUGUCACAGGUGCCACUGGCUCACUGGGAAGCUGCUGCGUGUCGUAGUGUUUCCUUCCACGAGCCCUGGUGGAAGUGCAGAACAGCAGAGUCCUGCCGGUGCAAUUUCUGCAAUUUUCGAGAAGAAAUUUCCAAGAAGGAAUCGAUGCCACCUUCCCAAAUGGUGCGAAUGAAGCCAUCCCAGGCUCGCUUCCCUGCACCCCCCGGCAGCACCUUUCCCAGAUAACAAUCUCUGUGCUUCCUUUCAAGCCUCCCCACAGUGUGCCCAAGCGAUGGGAGUGAUGUCCUGAGCUCAGUUCCACCAAAAGGUAGCCCUUUUGUAUUUUAUUUUUAACUUUAUUUUUCCAUGUGCUUGCUUCUUCCCUCCAUCCCCUUGGGUCAACACCCCUGCACAUGCCCAAAUGCUGGCUGGCACGCACGGGCUCCUGCCUAGAGGCUGUGCUGCAUCUUGCUUGGACUCCAGGAUCCAGCAGGAGGAAGAAACGACUGCACUCACUCACUAAUUUGGCCUUUUGGGUGAAACAGGGGUUUGCUUUAGACUGGCUGUUGCACGCAGAUAGCAUUACCUGUUUGUGCAGCUGAAAUGCUCGAGAGGCCAGCUCUCUAAAUAGUAGAAAUAAGGACCUGGAUGAUAAUUGCCAAUUUGACAUCUAUCCAAGCUAUGAAGCACUGCUGAAGUGCAAGACCAGAGUGCCCUUCAGGAAGUCAUUUAGUGCCUCACGUGGCUUUUAAGCAGGAUCUGUACUUAAACUCUCCUGACAGAUGAGUUUCUAACCUAAAGCCACGCAGUGAGAAGGAUGCCAGGACCCCCUGAGUAGCCCAUUCUACUGUUUCAUUAUACCUACUGUUGGAAAGGUUUUCCCCCUAAUGUGUAACUAAAUCCUAUUUACUGCAAAUCAUGCUCAAGGUAGUGUGUGAAUAAAGUCAUGUAAAUCUUUUGUUUAAAACAAAGACACACCCCCCCAAACCCCUUUAAUUUCUUGGAAGUGUUAUCAUCCCUCCUUGCUUCUUUCUCCAACUACAACAAUUGCUUUAAUCUUUUCAUUAAUGGUUUUUAAACCCUGUCAGCAUCAUCGCCCAUUUCUGUUUCCUCCAAUUUCUCUACGUUUCAUAGUUUGCUGCACCAAAGUGGAUACAAGUACCACGCAGUUGCCAGCAUGACAUGUAGUGAUUAUAUCUACUCUGAAUGCCUGCAGCACAUGCUUAUGAAAUCAUUGGGAGCAUUUCUACAUUUAUUUACAGCUUCGUUCUUUCAGGCUGGCAUCCUUACAGCAACAUUUUAAAUUGGAGGAAAAAAUAGCAGAGCUUUUAUCCCUAGAUAAAACCUCUUCCUCAAUCACCUUAUUUCAAGUAACUCUCCUAAUAAAACUGAAGUGAGUCUACAUCCCUCGUGUGCUGUAAAGCGUUGCUUAGGGCUUGAACAAGGCUGUCGCUGUGCAAUUAGUCUCUAACAUGUUAAAAAGGAAAUCCUGAUGUACUUUUUUCCUUCUGCAUCGAUGGAUUAACCAAAAAGGUUUCUCUUAGCAAAGCUUACAACUGUGUGUACCUUUUGUGUGACACUUGAGGGCAAAAUUACUCUCUGCUUCUGGUGAGUGCUUCAUGAUGUUCUCAUCCCAAUAGUGUCCGGGCUGAGCAUUCAGAGUAGCACUCAGAGACUCCUCAGUCGAUAUGAUCGAUUGUGCACCUCACAAGUAAGCUCCCCUGCUCACGGGCAGCAGAGGUCAAGCUGAUGUGUCUGCUGUGUGCAGGGGCACUGAGGGGGGAUGUUAACUGCGUGGGAAUUGGACUUUGACAGAGACAGCAGCCCAACCUACAGAUCCCAGGCAGAGUUAAAUGUUUCAUGGGACAGCUGAAAAUGGGAUUUUGGGGCUCUCCCCUCGAUGUGUAACCGGUAUUUUGUUGUCCAGUCCCGUGGCUGUGAGAAUGUUACAGCAGGCACAGAGCAGAGCGCUCUGCAUAGAAUCAUAGAAUCAUAGAAUAUCCUGAGUUGGAAGGGACCCUUAAGGAUCAUCAAGUCCAACUCUUG